Molecule: non-coding RNA, 46 nt
Filed under: Schistosoma mansoni
Lineage: Eukaryota; Metazoa; Platyhelminthes; Trematoda; Strigeidida; Schistosomatidae
Source: RNAcentral
GCACUGCUGAGGAGUCCUAUAAUAGGACGAAACGGCUGUCUAGUGC